Molecule: ribosomal RNA, 394 nt
Filed under: uncultured bacterium
Lineage: Bacteria
Description: partial 16S ribosomal RNA
Rfam family: Bacterial small subunit ribosomal RNA
Source: RNAcentral
AUACGUAGGUGGUGAGCGUUGUCCGGAAUUACUGGGCGUAAAGGGCGCGUAGGCGGCGCUUCAAGUCGUCUGUCAAAUGGGAGGGCUUAACCCUUUUUCGCAGACGAAACUGGAGAGCUUGAGAAGCAGAGAGGCAAACAGAAUUCCUGGUGUAGCGGUGAAAUGCGUAGAUAUCAGGAAGAAUACCAGUGGCGAAGGCGGUUUGCUGGCUGCAUACUGACGCUGAAGCGCGAAAGCCAGGGGAGCAAACGGGAUUAGAUACCCCGGUAGUCCUGGCAGUAAACGAUGUAUGCUGGGUGUGAGACUAGCGAUAGUUUCGUGCCGAAGUUAACGCGAUAAGCAUACCGCCUGGGGAGUACGGUCGCAAGAUUGAAACUCAAAGGAAUUGGCGGGG